Molecule: ribosomal RNA, 427 nt
Filed under: uncultured bacterium
Lineage: Bacteria
Description: partial 16S ribosomal RNA
Rfam family: Bacterial small subunit ribosomal RNA
Source: RNAcentral
UGGGGAAUAUUGGACAAUGGGCGAAAGCCUGAUCCAGCCAUGCCGCGUGUGUGAAGAAGGUCUUCGGAUUGUAAAGCACUUUAAGUUGGGAGGAAGGGCAUUAACCUAAUACGUUAGUGUUUUGACGUUACCGACAGAAUAAGCACCGGCUAACUCUGUGCCAGCAGCCGCGGUAAUACAGAGGGUGCAAGCGUUAAUCGGAAUUACUGGGCGUAAAGCGCGCGUAGGUGGGUUGUUAAGUUGGAUGUUAAAUCCCCGGGCUCAACCUGGGAACUGCAUUCAAAACUGACUGACUAGAGUAUGGUAGAGGGUGGUGGAAUUUCCUGUGUAGCGGUGAAAUGCGUAGAUAUAGGAAGGAACACCAGUGGCGAAGGCGACCACCUGGACUAAUACUGACACUGAGUUGCGAAAGCGUGGGGAGCAAACA